This 396-nucleotide ribosomal RNA is filed under the name uncultured bacterium. RNAcentral's name for it is "partial 16S ribosomal RNA". It matches the Rfam family "Bacterial small subunit ribosomal RNA", at positions 338 to 731 of the family's 1533-position model. The record is from RNAcentral.
CCUACGGGUGGCAGCAGUGAGGAAUAUUGGUCAAUGGACGCGAGUCUGAACCAGCCAAGUAGCGUGAAGGAUGACUGCCCUACGGGUUGUAAACUUCUUUUAUAUGGGAAUAAAAUGAGGCACGUAUACCUUUUUGUAUGUACUAUAUGAAUAAGGAUCGGCUAACUCCGUGCCAGCAGCCGCGGUAAUACGGAGGAUGCGAGCGUUAUCCGGAUUUAUUGGGUUUAAAGGGGGCGGAGGUGGGAUGGUAAGUCAGUGGUUAAAUUUUGCGGCUCAACCCUGAAAUUGCGGUUGAUACUGGAUGCCUUGAGUGCAGGAGAGGUAGGCGGAAUGCGUGGUGUAGCGGUGAAAUGCAUAGAUAUCACGAAGAACUCCGAUUGCGAAGGCAGCAUACUA